This 492-nucleotide ribosomal RNA is filed under the name uncultured bacterium. Its description in RNAcentral is "partial 16S ribosomal RNA". It matches the Rfam family "Bacterial small subunit ribosomal RNA", at positions 29 to 507 of the family's 1533-position model. The record is from RNAcentral.
AGUGAACGCUGGCGGUAGGCCUAACACAUGCAAGUCGAACGGCAGCACAGUAAGAGCUUGCUCUUACGGGUGGCGAGUGGCGGACGGGUGAGGAAUACAUCGGAAUCUACUUUUUCGUGGGGGAUAACGUAGGGAAACUUACGCUAAUACCGCAUACGACCUACGGGUGAAAGCAGGGGAUCUUCGGACCUUGCGCGAUUGAAUGAGCCGAUGUCGGAUUAGCUAGUUGGCGGGGUAAAGGCCCACCAAGGCGACGAUCCGUAGCUGGUCUGAGAGGAUGAUCAGCCACAAUGGAAAUGAGACACGGUCCAGACUCCUACGGGAGGCAGCAGUGGGGAAUAUUGGACAAUGGGCGCAAGCCUGAGCCAGCCAUACCGCGUGGGUGAAGAAGGCCUUCGGGUUGUAAAGCCCUUUUGUUGGGAAAGAAAAGCAGCAGGUUAAUACCCCGCUGUUCUGACGGUACCCAAAGAGUAAGCACCGGCUAACUUCGUG